Peniophora sp. CONT is the source of this 72-nucleotide non-coding RNA. Lineage: Eukaryota; Fungi; Basidiomycota; Agaricomycetes; Russulales; Peniophoraceae. The record is from Rfam.
UCCGGUAUGGUGUAACGGCUAACAUGGCUGCCUUUCACGCAGCAGCUCGGGGUUCGAUUCCCCGUACCGGAG